RNAcentral lists this ribosomal RNA (322 nucleotides) under uncultured eukaryote. RNAcentral's name for it is "partial 18S ribosomal RNA". It matches the Rfam family "Eukaryotic small subunit ribosomal RNA", at positions 1470 to 1796 of the family's 1831-position model. The record is from RNAcentral.
CCCUUAGAUGUUCUGGGCGGCCCGCGCACUACAAUGGCGUGUGCAGCGAGUGCCGAAGUAGAGUUUUCCGAGGUAUUCUUGCAAUGCUCGUUUUGAUGGGGAUAGACCCUUGCAACUGUUGGUUUUGAACGAGGAAUUCCUUGUAAGCAUGGUUUAUCAUCCGACGCUGAAUGCGUCCCUGCCCUUUGUACACACCGCCCGUCGCUCCUACCGAUUGAAUGGUUCGGUGAAGAUCUCGGACUUCGAUAUUUAUUCUUUAUUGAGUUUAUAUUGUGGGAAGUUAUCUAAACCUCAUCAUUUAGAGGAAGGUGAAGUCGUAACA